CUACGGGGUGCAGCAGUAAAGAAUCUUUCGCAAUGGGGGAAACCCUGGCGGAGCAACACCGCGUGGUGGAUGAAGGCCCUCGGGUCGUAAACACCUUUUAUAUGUCAAGAAAAUGACGGUAGCAUAUGAAUAAGCACCGGCUAACUCCGUGCCAGCAGCCGCGGUAAUACGGAGGGUGCAAGCGUUACUCGGAAUCACUGGGCGUAAAGGACGCGUAGGCGGGUUGGAAAGUCAGGUGUGAAAUCCUACAGCUUAACUGUAGAACUGAACUUGAAACUUCUAAUCUAGAGUAUGGGAGGGGGAGAUGGAAUUAGUGGUGUAGGGGUAAAAUCCGUAGAUAUCACUAGGAAUACCUAAAGCGAAGGCGAUCUCCUGGAACAUUACUGACGCUAAGGCGUGAAAGCGUGGGGAGCAAACAGGAUUAGAUACCCUCGUAGUC
This 439-nucleotide ribosomal RNA is filed under the name uncultured bacterium. Its description in RNAcentral is "partial 16S ribosomal RNA". It matches the Rfam family "Bacterial small subunit ribosomal RNA", at positions 339 to 795 of the family's 1533-position model. The record is from RNAcentral.